Molecule: unclassified non-coding RNA, 1352 nt
Filed under: Hevea brasiliensis (rubber tree)
Lineage: Eukaryota; Viridiplantae; Streptophyta; Magnoliopsida; Malpighiales; Euphorbiaceae
Source: RNAcentral
AAUUCUUGCUUCUGAGUUGCUGCCAUGGCAAAGCCUGUUUCAAUUGAAGUUUGGAACCCAAGUGGGAAAUACAGAGUUGUUAGCACCAAAUCCAUGCCAGGAACUCGCUGGAUUAAUCUCUUGAUUGCGCAAGAUUGCAGGGUUGAGAUAUGCACAGAGAAGAAAACAAUACUGUCUGUUGAGGAUAUUGUUGCUCUAAUUGGAGAUAAGUGUGAUGGAGUAAUUGGGCAGUUGACAGAAGAUUGGGGAGAGACUUUGUUUGCAGCUUUAAGCAGAGCAGGAGGAAAGGCUUUUAGUAACAUGGCUGUUGGCUACAACAAUGUUGAUGUUAAUGCUGCUAAUAAGUAUGGUGUUGCUGUUGGAAACACUCCUGGGGUUCUUACAGAGACGACAGCAGAGUUAGCAGCUUCGCUUUCCUUAGCAGCAGCUAGAAGAAUAGUUGAAGCCGAUGAGUUUAUGAGGGCAGGCCUAUAUGAUGGAUGGCUUCCUUAUCUUUUUGUGGGAAAUUUGCUCAAAGGACAGACUGUUGGUGUUAUUGGAGCAGGUCGUAUUGGAUCUGCUUAUGCCAGAAUGAUGGUUGAAGGUUUCAAAAUGAAUCUAAUUUACUAUGAUCUUUACCAAGCCACACGCCUGGAGAAGUUUGUUACAGCAUAUGGUGCAUUUUUACAAGCAAACGGCGAGCAGCCAGUUACAUGGAAAAGAGCAAGCAGCAUGGAUGAGGUGCUUCGUGAGGCAGAUGUGAUAAGUCUACACCCAGUCUUGGAUAAGACCACNAUUUGAUCAACAAAGAAAGGCUUUCAACAAUGAAGAAGGAAGCAAUCCUUGUAAACUGUAGUAGGGGUCCAGUGGUUGAUGAAGUAGCUCUUGUGGAACAUUUGAAACAAAAUCCCAAGUUUCGAGUCGGUCUUGAUGUCUUCGAGGAUGAACCAUACAUGAAGCCUGGGCUGGCUGAACUGAAGAAUGCCAUUGUAGUACCUCACAUUGCUUCUGCUUCUAAGUGGACUCGCGAAGGAAUGGCAACUCUAGCAGCUCUGAAUGUCCUGGGAAAGAUUAAAGGAUACCCGAUAUGGGGCAAUCCAAAUCAAGUAGAGCCAUUCUUGAAUGAAAAUGCUUCUCCUCCAGCAGCAAGUCCAAGUAUUGUGAAUGCAAAAGCCUUGGGUUUACCUGUUUCAAAACUAUAGAGCUUCCAGGCUGAAUCACCUAGGGGACUUGUGGUUCUUGUUAUAUCAAUCUGAGCAUUGGGUAUGGGCUCAACUGAGAUUUCAGUUAUCAGAAGCAUUAGCAACCAAAUGCGGAGGAAGAGUAAUAUUGGCAUUAUAGCUUUAUGAUGUUGCAAUGACUGGUUUUAAAUU